Long non-coding RNA from Corvus hawaiiensis (hawaiian crow), 646 nucleotides. RefSeq lists it as uncharacterized. The record is from RefSeq and is a predicted model, not a curated record. The transcript is spliced from 3 exons. Lineage: Eukaryota; Metazoa; Chordata; Aves; Passeriformes; Corvidae.
ACCCCCGGGACUCCCCCCGGGGCCCCCGGGUACACCUGCCGCUGCCCCCCCGGGCUUCCGGGGCUCCAACUGCGAGCGCCGGGCAGACCGGUUGUGACCCCCAGUACUGCCUGAACGGCGGGCACUGCCGGGACUCCCAGGGCCUGACCCCUCUGUGCCGCUGCCCCCCGGGCUUUUCGGGGCGCCGCUGCCAACACAACACGGACGACUGCACCCCAAAUCCCUGCGCGCACGGGGGGCACCUGCCAGGACGGCCCCAACUCCUUCACCUGCUCCUGCACCUGGGCUUCGGGGGCCCCGCUGCCGCCGCCGCGCCGGAGCCUGCGCCCCGAACCCCUGUGCCCACGGGGGCACCUGCUUCACGCACUUCUCGGGGCCCGUCUGUGCCUGCGCCCCCGGCUUUAUGGGGGUGCGCUGCGAGGAGGAGGUGGGGGGCACCGCCCCCGACCCCGAAAGGCCGCGGGCCGGCCCCCCUGGCGCUGUGCGCGCCUCCCGCUGCUGCUUUUGGGGCCGGGAGUGGGGCUGGCGGUGGCCAGGAGGAGGAGGGGGAGCAGCAGCAGGACCCCCAGCGGACACUGGGGGGACCCCCCGGCUGAGCCCCCCCGGGCCAGAGCGGCAGCCCCAAAGAGCCUCGGCCACGCGGGUG